RNAcentral lists this ribosomal RNA (301 nucleotides) under uncultured bacterium. RNAcentral describes it as "partial 16S ribosomal RNA". It matches the Rfam family "Bacterial small subunit ribosomal RNA", at positions 509 to 807 of the family's 1533-position model. The record is from RNAcentral.
CAGUAGCCACGGUAAUACAGAGGGUGCAAGCGUUAAUCGGAAUUACUGGGCGUAAAGCGCGCGUAGGUGGUUUGUUAAGUCGGAUGUGAAAUCCCUGAGCUUAACUUAGGAAUUGCAUUCGAUACUGGGAAGCUAGAGUAUGGGAGAGGAUGGUAGAAUUCCAGGUGUAGCGGUGAAAUGCGUAGAGAUCUGGAGGAAUACCGAUGGCGAAGGCAGCCAUCUGGCCUAAUACUGACGCUGAGGUACGAAAGCAUGGGGAGCAAACAGGAUUAGAUACCCGUGUAGUCCCUGUCUCUUAUAC